This 252-nucleotide ribosomal RNA is filed under the name uncultured bacterium. RNAcentral describes it as "partial 16S ribosomal RNA". It matches the Rfam family "Bacterial small subunit ribosomal RNA", at positions 524 to 776 of the family's 1533-position model. The record is from RNAcentral.
UACGUAGGGUGCAAGCGUUGUCCGGAAUUAUUGGGCGUAAGGGCUCGUAGGCGGUCCAUCGCGUCGGGAGUGAAAAGCUGGGGCUUAACCCCAGUCCUGCUUCCGAUACGGGUGGACUAGAGGUAGGUAGGGGAGAACGGAAUUCCUGGUGUAGCGGUGAAAUGCGCAGAUAUCAGGAGGAACACCGGUGGCGAAGGCGGUUCUCUGGGCCUUACCUGACGCUGAGGAGCGAAAGCAUGGGGAGCAAACAGG